Molecule: ribosomal RNA, 514 nt
Filed under: Eucleoteuthis luminosa
Lineage: Eukaryota; Metazoa; Mollusca; Cephalopoda; Oegopsida; Ommastrephidae
Description: partial 16S ribosomal RNA
Rfam family: Bacterial large subunit ribosomal RNA
Source: RNAcentral
GUCUCUUUGUAAAAUAUAAAUAAAGAGUCGGGCCUGCUCGGUGAAUAAGUUUUUAACAGCUGCGGUAUUUUAACUGUACUAAGGUAGCAUAAUAAUUUGCCUUAUAAUUUGAGGCUAGAAUGAAUGGUUUGACGAAGGUUAAUCUGUCUCUAUCUUAUUUUUUAGAAUUUAAUUUUUAAAGUGAAAAAGCUUAAAUUUUUUAAAGGGACGAGAAGACCCUAAUGAGCUUAUAAUUUUAUUAUUAUUAUUUAAAAUAUUUGAAUAAUAAUAUAUAAAUUUUAAUUGGGGUGAUUAAGGAAUAAUUUUAAUAUAGUAACUUCCUUAAGUUAAAUGUUUAUAGAUAAAGUAACCAAUGAAAUAUUGCUUAUAAUAUAGUUACCAUAGGGAUAACAGCGUAAUUUGUUUAGAGAGUUCUUAUUGAAAAACGAGAUUGCGACCUCGAUGUUGGAUUAAAGUAACCUUAAGGUGCAGAAGCUUUAAUAAGGUAAAUCUGUUCGAUUUUUAAUACUUUACA